Molecule: ribosomal RNA, 305 nt
Filed under: uncultured bacterium
Lineage: Bacteria
Description: bacterial SSU rRNA
Rfam family: Bacterial small subunit ribosomal RNA
Source: RNAcentral
ACCUACGGGGCGCAGCAGUGAGGAAUAUUGGUCAAUGGGCGGGAGCCUGAACCAGCCAAGUCGCGUGAGGGAAGAAGGUACUGAGUAUUGUAAACCUCUUUUGCCAGGGGACAAAGGCGGCCACGGGUGGCCGUAAGAGGGUACCUGGAGAAAAAGCAUCGGCUAACUACGUGCCAGCAGCCGCGGUAAUACGUAGGGGGCAAGCGUUAUCCGGAUUUACUGGGUGUAAAGGGAGCGUAGACGGAAAGGCAAGUCAGAAGUGAAAACCCAAGGCUCAACCAUGGGACUGCUUUUGAAACUGUCAA